UACGUAGGGUGCAAGCGUUGUCCGGAAUUAUUGGGCGUAAAGAGCUCGUAGGCGGUUUGUUGCGUCGGCUGUGAAAACCUGAGGCUCAACCUCAGGCCUGCAGUCGAUACGAGCAGACUAGAGUGUUGCAGGGGAGACUGGAAUUCCUGGUGUAGCGGUGAAAUGCGCAGAUAUCAGGAGGAACACCGGUGGCGAAGGCGGGUCUCUGGGCCGAUACUGACGCUGAGGAGCGAAAGCGUGGGGAGCAAACAGG
This 253-nucleotide ribosomal RNA is filed under the name uncultured bacterium. RNAcentral describes it as "partial 16S ribosomal RNA". It matches the Rfam family "Bacterial small subunit ribosomal RNA", at positions 524 to 776 of the family's 1533-position model. The record is from RNAcentral.